GUGAAUCAUCGAAUCUUUGAACGCAAAUUGCACUCUCUGGUAUUCCGGAGAGCAUGCCUGUUUGAGGGUCAGUUUAAAUAAAAAUCGGUGUGGUUGCUGCCUUUCGUUUUGACGUACCGGAUUUGGGUCGUCUUGCCUUCGGUUAAGUGACCUAAAAUUUUGCUUGAUUUUUUCGACCUUAUUUAAAUGACUUUACGUACGUUUGCGAUAUUGAAUACUCGGUGUGGUCAUCCUUA
RNAcentral lists this unclassified non-coding RNA (236 nucleotides) under Glomus sp. RNAcentral's name for it is "partial contains 5.8S ribosomal RNA and internal transcribed spacer 2". The stretch from base 1 to 71 matches the Rfam family "5.8S ribosomal RNA", at positions 84 to 154 of the family's 154-position model. The record is from RNAcentral. Lineage: Eukaryota; Fungi; Glomeromycota; Glomeromycetes; Glomerales; Glomeraceae.